Molecule: ribosomal RNA, 95 nt
Filed under: uncultured bacterium
Lineage: Bacteria
Description: partial 16S ribosomal RNA
Rfam family: Bacterial small subunit ribosomal RNA
Source: RNAcentral
CCGCCCGUCACACCAUGAGAGCUGACUGUACCAGAAGUCGCUGGGCCAACCCGCAAGGGAGGCAGGCGCCUAAGGUAUGGUUGGUGAUUGGGGUG